ACGUAGGGGGCGAGCGUUAUCCGGAUUCAUUGGGCGUAAAGCGCGCGCAGGCGGCGGGUCAAGCGGGGCCUCUAAGGCCGGGGCUCAACCCCGGUUCGGGCCCCGAACUGGCCCGCUCGGGUGCGGUAGGGGCAGGUGGAAUUCCCGGUGUAGCGGUGGAAUGCGCAGAUAUCGGGAGGAACACCGAUGGCGAAGGCAGCCUGCUGGGCCGUCACCGACGCUGAGGCGCGAGAGCCGGGGGAGCGAACAG
Molecule: ribosomal RNA, 250 nt
Filed under: uncultured bacterium
Lineage: Bacteria
Description: partial 16S ribosomal RNA
Rfam family: Bacterial small subunit ribosomal RNA
Source: RNAcentral